UACAGAGGUGGCAAGCGUUGUUCGGAAUUACUGGGCGUAAAGGGCGCGUAGGCGGUUCGUUAAGUCCUGUGUGAAAUCCCCCGGCUCAACUGGGGAACUGCACAGGAAACUAGCGGGCUUGAGUUCGGGAGAGGGAAGCGGAAUUCCGGGUGUAGCGGUGAAAUGCGUAGAUAUCAGGAGGAACACCGGUGGCGAAGGCGGCAUCCUGGACCGACAUUGACGCUGAGGCGCGAAAGCCAGGGGAGCAAACGGG
RNAcentral lists this ribosomal RNA (253 nucleotides) under uncultured bacterium. RNAcentral describes it as "partial 16S ribosomal RNA". It matches the Rfam family "Bacterial small subunit ribosomal RNA", at positions 524 to 776 of the family's 1533-position model. The record is from RNAcentral.